GAGGAAGUGAGCUGCCAUGUACUAGGCCACGUGGCAAGGGCCUGGUUGGGGACCUCCAGGGGUUGAGAGCAUCCUCUGGACAACAUGGAAAAAGAAAAUGAAAAUGGUGACCUCAGCCCUAUAGCUAGAAGGAAUUGAAUCCUGUCAACAACGAUCUAUAGUUAAAAUACAUAGGGAAGGGCUUCAAGAUGGCUGACUAAAGGCACCUAGCACUCGCCUCCUCUGGAAAAAAGGACCAAAACAGCUAUUGGGUUUGGAGUGAAUUCUCAGAAACAUCACUACUGACAUAACUCCAUAAAGAAUUCAUAAUUUCUACUCACAUGUUUUACCCACAUCAAUAACAGAAUCUCAGGAAAACCAAAGUGGAGUUUACAAUGUUCAUUUUGACACUGUGCAUUAGACUUCUCGACUUCAAGCUACAAAAACCAGCACAGAACCUGGAAAAAUUUUACCUCCUGGCAUUUUUGUUUCUCUACCCUGAUGCUUGUUGUUGAGUUUUACCCAUGCUUUGACCAUCAGCAAAUUGAAGACUCAUCACUCACUGCAGAUGUUACUUUAAGACAUUCUGGAGCAGCGUCAUGUGCAGUCAUGUGAAAGUAUAUUCCAAACCCAGAACCUGAGCACAGAUUGGGACUGAGAAACACUUGUCUAGAUUGUCAGGCAAUCUGUAACAUCAGCAGUGGAUGGAAAGAAGGAGAAAGAUGAGUUUUAUGGACGCUAACCCAUCUAUAUGGCUUUGGAAAAUAAAGUACUGCUGUUUUUUUUUGUAAAGG
Molecule: long non-coding RNA, 773 nt
Filed under: Homo sapiens (human)
Lineage: Eukaryota; Metazoa; Chordata; Mammalia; Primates; Hominidae
Description: HSALNT0325499
Source: RNAcentral